RNAcentral lists this transfer RNA (73 nucleotides) under Hemidactylus farasani (Farasan gecko). Its description in RNAcentral is "tRNA-Ser". It matches the Rfam family "tRNA". From Rfam's summary of the family: Transfer RNA (tRNA) molecules are approximately 80 nucleotides in length. Their secondary structure includes four short double-helical elements and three loops (D, anti-codon, and T loops). The record is from RNAcentral. Lineage: Eukaryota; Metazoa; Chordata; Lepidosauria; Squamata; Gekkonidae.
GAGAGAUAAGUAUAUGGUUAGUGUGCAGUUAGUUUGAAACUAAUUGGGGGGGGUUAGAGUCCUCCAUCUCUUG